GACGAACGCUGGCGGCGUGCUUAACACAUGCAAGUCAAGCGGUAAGGCCCUUUCGGGGGUACACGAGCGGCGAACGGGUGAGUAACACGUGGGUGACCUGCCCUCAGCUCUGGGAUAAGCCCGGGAAACUGGGUCUAAUACCGGAUAUGACUCCAUGACGCAUGUUGUGGGGUGGAAAGCCUUGUGCGGCUGAGGAUGGGCCCGCGGCCUAUCAGCUUGUUGGUGGGGUGAUGGCCUACCAAGGCGACGAUGGGUAGCUGGUCUGAGAGGACGAUCAGCCACACUGGGACUGAGACACGGCCCAGACUCCUACGGGAGGCAGCAGUGGGGAAUCUUGCGCAAUGCGCGAAAGCGUGACGCAGCAACGCCGCGUGGGGGAAGACGGCCU
This 388-nucleotide ribosomal RNA is filed under the name uncultured bacterium. RNAcentral describes it as "bacterial SSU rRNA". It matches the Rfam family "Bacterial small subunit ribosomal RNA", at positions 28 to 417 of the family's 1533-position model. The record is from RNAcentral.